UGAUGUAGAGGUGGCCUUGGUGGGCAAACC
This 30-nucleotide non-coding RNA is filed under the name Mus musculus (house mouse). The record is from RNAcentral. Lineage: Eukaryota; Metazoa; Chordata; Mammalia; Rodentia; Muridae.